Long non-coding RNA from Neofelis nebulosa (Clouded leopard), 2028 nucleotides. RefSeq lists it as uncharacterized. The record is from RefSeq and is a predicted model, not a curated record. Lineage: Eukaryota; Metazoa; Chordata; Mammalia; Carnivora; Felidae. The transcript is spliced from 2 exons.
CCUGGAGUUCAACCCGUGUCCUGGGGCUUGUCCAGGUGGAACCUGGGCACCUGCUGCUUUAACAACCUACGCUAGUGUUGUGUUAGGGGCUGCCGGGAGGGGCCUGGAGGCUGAAGGUCAAGGUCUGAGCCGACUGACCUUUGAACCCCAAGCUUGAGUCUAACCAACGGGCGUCGGUGUGGCGGCGGAGCAGUCCUGUCCCUGGGCCGAGCCCCACAGGCGUCCCGUCCAACAAGGCACCUGAGUCUUGGCGCUCGCGGAGUUGGGAGCCCCGACAGUGAGGACUACAGCUCCUGUGCUUUUUUUGACCUCUGGUCAAAAGAGGGGUGUCCUCUUGGGGGUCUAGGACUCUCUGCACCGACUCUUCGGUGAGUGUCUGCGAACAGGGGCCUGUGUUUGCUUCCAGGCUCAAGUCAGUGCGACCCGGUCCCCACACCGGGCGGGGGAGGAGGGAGAGGGGGCGGGGCCUGGGGAGGCAGUUCCCGCCCCACCCCCAGGCACACCGUCUGCCUGCCUCUCCCAGCGGGAUCUUCCCUCCCCCGAAGUGUGUGCCAGGGGGCUGAGCCCCCCACCCCAGAAGAGGAGCGGCCCCUAAUUGUGCAUGACUAAUUGCCCUCUUCACCUGUGCAGCUGGGCCGGCCCCCUCCCCUGGGCCCUGAGCUUGUUGGUGGAAGGAAAACGGAUUUCCCCAGUUCGGCAGACUUGGGGGGGUAGUGAACCUACUGUGGUUUGGAGCAUUUAUCAUUCACAACAGGCCUCAUUCCCUCAAGGAGGGUUUGCGGUAAACAACUCAGAAGACACCCCUCCUACUCAGCCGGGGCUCCUGACCUAAGGGAAGCGGCUACACUGUGCCCCAGGGUUUGGGGCAGAAACCUGGAAAGGCUCAGGUCGCCUGCCCCCAGCACCAGCAGGCGCUCAGGGGAGCCACAGGCCACUCCCUAGGCCCAGCCAGCCCUCCAUCCUUUUUCUAAGAACUAUAUUGGUGUAUAAUUCACACACCAUGAAAUCCCCCCAGGUGUAAGGUCACAUCUCAGUGCUUUUCAGUAAGUUUAUGGACUUGGGCUCCCCCCAUCUCCCCAGCACAAUCCAGGUGUAGACCAUUUCCAUCAGCCGCACAAGACUCCUUGUGCCUCUUUGAGGUCAGUCCCUGCUCCCAUCUCCAGCCCCAGGCAACCACCCGUCUGUUCUCCUUGCCUGUAGAUUUGCCUUCCGUACACUUCCUGUCAAUGGAAACUUACAACAUGUAGUCUUUUGUGUUUGGUUUCUUGCUUCUUAAAAAACUUGAUUUUACGGUCAUAAGAACACCCCCUUAACACAAUUUUCCGUGUAAGAUGCAUUAUUGCGGACUGUAGGUGCGUUUGGUUUCUUUUCCUUCCCAUCAUGUUCCUGAGGUUUCUCUACGUGGCACGGAUCAGUUGCUCGUUCCUUUUUAUUGCUGACUAAUUUUUCAUUGUGUGGACGGGCCACAGUUUAUUGAUCUGUUCAAUGUGAACGUGUGUUUCCAAUUUUUUUUUUUUUUUUUUUUUUUUUUGCUCUUAAGACUACUGCUGCUAUGAAUGUGUACAGAUCUGUGUGUGGGCCUGUUUUCAUUUCUCUUGGGCGGAUACGGAGCAGUAGGACUGCCAUGUCUUACAGUAGUAAGUGUGAGAAACUCCCUUCCAGCGUGGCCACACCAUUUACAGUCCCACCUACGGUGUGUGAGCGGCCCAUUCGCCACCUCCCCGCCACUGAUUGGGUGUGGUCAGUCUUUUUAUUGUUGGACUCACUAAUAGGUGCGUGGUGGUGUUUCAUUGUGGCUUUAACUUGCAUUUCCUAAAGACUGGAGCCUCUUUUCCUGUUGGCCUGUUGGUCUUCUGUGUAUCUUCCUUGGUGACGUGUCUUUUCAAAUCUUUUCCCCUUUUAAAAAAUUGGGUCAUGGGGGCGCCUGGCUGGCUCAGUCAGUAGAGCGUGUGGUUCUUGAUCUUGGCGUCAUGAGUUCGAGCCCCCAUUGGGUGUAGAGAUUAAAAAUAAAAUAUUGGUGUUCUUGGA